This 253-nucleotide ribosomal RNA is filed under the name uncultured bacterium. Its description in RNAcentral is "partial 16S ribosomal RNA". It matches the Rfam family "Bacterial small subunit ribosomal RNA", at positions 524 to 776 of the family's 1533-position model. The record is from RNAcentral.
UACGAACUGUGCGAACGUUAUUCGGAAUCACUGGGCUUACAGGGUGCGUAGGCGGCUUUUCAAGUCAGGUGUGAAAGCCCCCGGCUCAACCGGGGAACUGCGCUUGAAACUGAAAAGCUCGAGUCAGCUAGAGGGACACGGAACUUCCAGUGGAGCGGUGAAAUGUGUUGAUAUUGGAAGGAACACCAGAGGCGAAAGCGGUGUCCUGGGGCUGGUCUGACGCUGAGGCACGAAAGCCAGGGGAGCGAACGGG